Molecule: long non-coding RNA, 1186 nt
Organism: Oncorhynchus tshawytscha (Chinook salmon)
Lineage: Eukaryota; Metazoa; Chordata; Actinopteri; Salmoniformes; Salmonidae
Source: Ensembl
GGUGACUCCCUCCCUCCCUCUUGGUGAUCUACCAUAGGUGACUCCCUCCCUCCCUCUAGGUGAUCUACCAUAGGUGACUUCCUCCCUCCCUCUAGGUGAUCUACCAUAGGUGACUCCCUCCCUCCCUCUAGGUGAUCUACCGUAGGUGACUUCCUCCCUCCCUCUAGGUGAUCUACCAUAGUAUAGUACGGGGUUAAGGGUGUAUUGAUGGUACAGGGUUAAGGGUAUAUUGAUGGUACAGGGCUAAGGGUGUAUUGAUGGUUAAGGGUGUAUUGAUGGUACAGGGUUAAGGGUGUAUUGAUGGUACAGGGUUAAGGGUGUAUUGAUGGUUAAGGGUGUAUUGAUGGUACAGGGUUAAGGGUGUAUUGAUGGUUAAGGGUGUAUUGAUGGUACAGGGUUAAUGGUGUAUUGAUUUUGUAGAGCGGUCUGAUGGUUCCAGGUGUUUGUUCAAAGUCUUGUCGGCCAUCUUGUGUCUGAGAUCCAUUAGUGUCCUGCGGUUUCUCUAAUCCUCAUUCACAUGUAAUGGCGCAGAUAGCAUGUGAAUGGACAGCCACAAACUGCAGAGCCGGCCGUUAGCACACACGCUAAUGAACCCUCACUUUGCAUAGGUAUUAAUAUGGCUAGCACUAGGCUUUAACACCACAAAAUGAUGAAAAAGUCAAGGGGUGUGAAAACUUUCUGAAGGCACAUGUGGGGGGUGGGGGCUUCCUGUCAGCAUCACCUACUACAUAUGGUGUCAAUAGAAGGAACAGUCGGGGGCAGGGCAGGCUGAUGGCAGUAUAAGAGGCAGAGGGGUGGAGGGAGCUUUGUCACUUUGCUCUCAUUCACAGAGACAAUCACUCUCUGGACAAACACCCACGACGGACACACACACUGAAGACACACAUUCAUUAACUGAGAAGAGAUCCUGAGAGGGACCCACAGCACCACAGCAUCCUGCCCAGAGAGAGAGAGACUGAUUCCUGGGUAAAGAGAGGAGCUCCAGACCCUUCCUAUCCUGAGAGGGACCCACAGCACCACAGCAUCCUGCCCAGAGAGAGAAAGACUGAUUCCUGGGUAGAGAGAGGAGCUCCAGACCCUUCCUAUCCAGCCAUGAGGAUCAUCAGCCUACUGUACCUGCUGCUGCUAGUAACUGUUCUAGGAUCCGUUUCUGCAUUGAGACCAGGUAGGACAACACAAAGACAUU